This 468-nucleotide ribosomal RNA is filed under the name uncultured bacterium. RNAcentral describes it as "partial 16S ribosomal RNA". It matches the Rfam family "Bacterial small subunit ribosomal RNA", at positions 28 to 507 of the family's 1533-position model. The record is from RNAcentral.
GACGAACGCUGGCGGCGUGCUUAACACAUGCAAGUCGAACGGAAAGGCCCUGCUUUUGUGGGGUGCUCGAGUGGCGAACGGGUGAGUAACACGUGAGUAACCUGCCCUUGACUUUGGGAUAACUUCAGGAAACUGGGGCUAAUACCGGAUAGGAGCUCCUGCUGCAUGGUGGGGGUUGGAAAGUUUCGGCGGUUGGGGAUGGACUCGCGGCUUAUCAGCUUGUUGGUGGGGUAGUGGCUUACCAAGGCUUUGACGGGUAGCCGGCCUGAGAGGGUGACCGGCCACAUUGGGACUGAGAGACGGCGCAGACGCCUACGGGAGGCAGCAGUGGGGAAUAUUGCACAAUGGGCGGAAGCCUGAUGCAGCAACGCCGCGUGCGGGAUGACGGCCUUCGGGUUGUAAACCGCUUUCGCCUGUGACGAAGCGUGAGUGACGGUAAUGGGUAAAGAAGCACCGGCUAACUACGUG